CGGGUGCUCAGAAAACAAGUGCUGCUGAUCAACAACCUCAACUAUGUUGCCCAGAUUCAUUAUUCAGGAGGAUUUCUCAAAAAUAAUUGAGACGAGGCCUUAAGGAAAGGCAAUGAGACUGGAAUUACAAAAGGAGUGGCCUUCUACUUGAAGACAGUGCCAGAGAGUUGUGUAGGCUGGAGUGCAGUGACGUGAUCUCAACUUACUACAACCUCUGCCUCCCAGAUUCAAGUGAUUCUCCUGCCUCGGCCUUCUGAAUAGCUGGAAUUAUAGGUAUGCACCACCAAGCCCAGCUAGUUUUUUGUGUUUCAGUAGAGACAGUUCCACCACGUUGGCCAGGCUGGUCUCGAACGCCUGGCAUCCAGUGAU
Long non-coding RNA from Callithrix jacchus (white-tufted-ear marmoset), 369 nucleotides. RefSeq lists it as uncharacterized. NCBI's taxonomy places the organism in Eukaryota, Metazoa, Chordata, Mammalia, Primates, Cebidae. The record is from RefSeq and is a predicted model, not a curated record.